UACGUAGGUGGCGAGCGUUGUCCGGAAUUACUGGGUGUAAAGGGAGCGUAGGCGGGAGAGCAAGUCGACUGUGAAAUCUAUGGGCUUAACCCCCAAACUGCUUUUGAAACUGUGGGUCUUGAGUGAUGGAGAGGCAGGCGGAAUUCCCAGUGUAGCGGUGAAAUGCGUAGAUAUUGGGAGGAACACCAGUGGCGAAGGCGGCCUGCUGGACAUUAACUGACGCUGAGGCGCGAAAGCGUGGGGAGCAAACAGG
This 253-nucleotide ribosomal RNA is filed under the name uncultured bacterium. Its description in RNAcentral is "partial 16S ribosomal RNA". It matches the Rfam family "Bacterial small subunit ribosomal RNA", at positions 524 to 776 of the family's 1533-position model. The record is from RNAcentral.